RNAcentral lists this long non-coding RNA (469 nucleotides) under Eucalyptus grandis. Its description in RNAcentral is "long non-coding RNA (EGRA_LNC005364)". Lineage: Eukaryota; Viridiplantae; Streptophyta; Magnoliopsida; Myrtales; Myrtaceae. The record is from RNAcentral.
UCUUUACAAUCCAAGUGGGCUAGUGAGUGAGUGAUCAUUCCUUGAGAAAAAAGCUUAACUCAGGCACCCCCAACUAACCAAAAGGAGCCUAAGUGCCACACAGUUUCGAUCUUAAGCAUCGGCCUGUGACAGAGGCGUGACGGCAAGCUGCGGGGAGAGAGAGAGAUGGGUGUUAUUGUUUUUGGUGGGAACUUGGAUUAGAAAUUCUGAGGACAAAAGGGUUGGAUGAACAUGUAUUGUGAUCCUAGUGUGAAGACAACAAAUGUGACUUGCAGGAGACAGAAAAUUUGCAUAUGAGAUAGAGGAUCAGCACCCUUGAAAUUACGCACCCAGCAACUGACUUUCAUUUCUCAGUUCAUGUCAGAAUUAGUUCCGCAGCCUCUCAUGUCCAACAAGUCUUAAAUUUGGCUCCCGCAUAUGUUUCUUUGACAUUGUACACCACUUGACUAGGGAUUAACUGUCAAUCGAG